AGUGAACGCUGGCGGUAGGCCUAACACAUGCAAGUCGAACGGCAGCACAGUAAGAGCUUGCUCUUACGGGUGGCGAGUGGCGGACGGGUGAGGAAUACAUCGGAAUCUACUUUUUCGUGGGGGAUAACGUAGGGAAACUUACGCUAAUACCGCAUACGACCUACGGGUGAAAGCAGGGGAUCUUCGGACCUUGCGCGAUUGAAUGAGCCGAUGUCGGAUUAGCUAGUUGGCGGGGUAAAGGCCCACCAAGGCGACGAUCCGUAGCUGGUCUGAGAGGAUGAUAAGCCACACUGGAACUGAGACACGGUCCAGACUCCUACGGGAGGCAGCAGUGGGGAAUAUUGGACAAUGGGCGCAAGCCUGAUCCAGCCAUACCGAGUGGGUGAAGAAGGCCUUCGGGUUGUAAAGCCCUUUUGUUGGGAAAGAAAAGCAGCAGGUUAAUACCCCGCUGUUCUGACGGUACCCAAAGAAUAAGCACCGGCUAACUUCGUG
This 492-nucleotide ribosomal RNA is filed under the name uncultured bacterium. Its description in RNAcentral is "partial 16S ribosomal RNA". It matches the Rfam family "Bacterial small subunit ribosomal RNA", at positions 29 to 507 of the family's 1533-position model. The record is from RNAcentral.